GACGAACGCUGGCGGCGUGCUUAACACAUGCAAGUCGAACGGAAAGGCCCUGCUUGCAGGGUACUCGAGUGGCGAACGGGUGAGUAACACGUGGGUGAUCUGCCCUGCACUUCGGGAUAAGCCUGGGAAACUGGGUCUAAUACCGGAUAGGAGCCAUUUUUUAGUGUGAUGGUUGGAAAGUUUUUUCGGUGUAGGAUGAGCUCGCGGCCUAUCAGCUUGUUGGUGGGGUAAUGGCCUACCAAGGCGGCGACGGGUAGCCGGCCUGAGAGGGUGGACGGCCACAUUGGGACUGAGAUACGGCCCAGACUCCUACGGGAGGCAGCAGUGGGGAAUAUUGCACAGUGGGCGCAAGCCUGAUGCAGCGACGCCGCGUGGGGGAUGACGGCCUUCGGGUUGUAAACUCCUUUCGCUAGGGACGAAGCUUUUUGUGACGGUACCUAGAUAAGAAGCACCGGCUAACUACGUG
RNAcentral lists this ribosomal RNA (466 nucleotides) under uncultured bacterium. Its description in RNAcentral is "partial 16S ribosomal RNA". It matches the Rfam family "Bacterial small subunit ribosomal RNA", at positions 28 to 507 of the family's 1533-position model. The record is from RNAcentral.